Oreochromis aureus is the source of this 5664-nucleotide long non-coding RNA. Lineage: Eukaryota; Metazoa; Chordata; Actinopteri; Cichliformes; Cichlidae. The record is from Ensembl.
CUCCGGACCUGUGACAUCAUCACGUACGCUGGUACAAAUCACGAGUCCGUGCUCGCGUACUUGAGAAUUGAGAAACGGCCGACGAGUCCGUGCUCGCGUUCUCGGCAGGUACGUACUCCCGUGCGUUCUCGGCGGGUACGUACUCACCGAGCACGCGAGUACGUACUCGCGUACUUGGGCAUUGAUAAACGGCCCUGGUGGUUCUAUCCCCGUGUGUCCGUCAGAUAUCUAACCCCACGUUGCAUCCAUCAGUGUGUGAGUGUUUGACAGAGAACAUAGCAGAGAUUUAAAUCAGCGACAGUUAAAACAAACAGACUCAAAACAUCCACAAAGUCUCAAAAUAACAACAAAACAAGUACUAAGAGAUUCAGAGUAACAGCUACAGUCUCACAACAGCUAAAACUACUAGAAAGACUUUGAAAACAAGCACAAAAAGACUGAAAACAGGAAAAAAAAAGUUAAAACCAGAGAUAAAAGCUAGCACUAAGAAAGACAUUCAGAAACAAACAUCUGUCUAUAGAUACAUUUAAAAAAAACCAUUUAAACUAAAAGGAUUACUCACAUAUAUAUUGAUGGAUAUGUUUUGCAGCAGAAUAAUUUUUUACGUUUUUAUUUAUUUGAUGGCCACCUAAACAGAGUGUCACGCUCUCACUCGCAUGCAGUAAUUAAUACCAGUGAAUGAAGUCAUAUGUCCCCUGUGAGCAGCUCACGGACCUGACAUUAGAUUUUCCUGCUGCUCAUUAUUGGUAUGCAGCCUGGAGAGAGAGGGGGAGAGGCGGUCAGAUCGAACUUCACUGACUUUCUCGGAGCAGAGUUGGUUAAGUAACAGCUGUUUGAGGAGAAGGAGAAAAAUCACAGUGAGUGUUUGAGCUGUGUUGAAAUGGAGACGGGCAGAUAGUGUGACUGUUUCUGAGACAUGCAGUCAAAGCAGAGAGCCCCAAGGAGCUGGAACCAGAGUAAACAACGAAAGGUAAAUAAAGCCAAGUCAGUGGGUCAGAUGCUGUGUUCAAGUUCGACUUGUAAAAACCGAGAGGACUGUGGGGUGUGUGAAUAAGAUGGUAAAAUGGUAAAUGGCCUGUAUUUAUAUAGCGCUUUCUAGUCCCUAAGGACCCCAAAGCGCUUUACAUAUCCAGACAUCCACCCAUUCACACACACAUUCACACACUGGUGAUGGCAAGCUACAUAGUAGCCACAGCCACCCUGGGGCGCACUGACAGAGGCGAGGCUGCCGAACACUGGCGCCACCGGGCCCUCUGACCACCACCAGUAGGCAACGGGUGAAGUGUCUUGCCCAAGGACACAACGACCGAGACUGUCCAAGCUGGGGCUCGAACCGGCAACCUUCCGAUUACAAGGCGAACUCCCAACUCUUGAGCCACGACCGGAAGAAAGGAAAGGUUCCAGGUGGUUCUGUACUCUUGAAAAAAAUAUAGUUUCAAUGAAUUGAGGAAAUAUAUUCAAUUCAAUUUUAUUUAUACAGCUCCAAAUCACAACAACUGUCGCCUCAAGGCGCUUUAUAUUGUACAGCAGAUCGUUCAAUAAUAGAUACAGAGAAAAAGCCAACAAUCAUAUGACCCCCUAUGAGCAAGCACUUUGGCGACAGUGGGAAGGAAAAACUCCCUCAGGGAGGGGCGGGGCCAUCUGCUGCGACCGGUUGGGGUGAGAGAAAGAAGACGGGAUAAAGUCUGUGAAGGUUCUCAGUCAUCCAGCUCAUCGUAGUCAAAGGAAUUUGCAAAGAAAAGCGUCUGGACUUCUUUAAGUUGCUUGAAGACGUUUCACCUCUCAUCCCAGAAGCUUCUUCAGUUCUAAGGUCAAAUGGCCGAGAGUCCCAGAUUUAAACCCUGUGGGAGACGGGAUAAAGACAUGCUGUGGAAGAGAGACAGGGAUUAAUAACAAGUGUGAUGCAGUGCAGAGAGGUCUGUUAGGCUUGACUGGUACACCAUAUAUCUACAUCAUAUUCAAAACCCCAAACUCAAAAAUUUAACAUCACUAUGACAAAGAUUCUUUGUGUGAUUAAACACUUUAAGGAACCUUCUGUUGCUUUGUCGUCAGCUUCUAUGUUAACUCCCUCUGUAAAUUUUCUUACUCAUUUAUCCACAACAGGGUCUUUUGCCUCUUGUAUUCACUGUGCAAGAGGCAGAGUACACCAUGGACAUGUCGCCAAUACGACCCAGGGCACAGAGUUACAUCCACAGACUCACCAUGAACCUAAUAUGCCUCUGUUUGGACUUUGGAAGAAGCUGGUGUACCUGUAGAGAACCCACAUACCCACAGGGAGAACAUGUAAACUCCACACAGAAAGGCCUGUAACGGUGCUGACCAAUCAGAAAUGUCUGGUGAAUUGUUCAUUUAUCAACUAGACAGCUUGGUUUGCAAACUGUAACUGCUAAACAGUGCUGAGUAACAGUCUAAUAAAAACAUGAAUUUUACUCACCAGAACGGCUGCACAAACUUUGUGGAUGGCCUGUAGCAUGCAGCAGCACAUUAACUGUGGUAGUCAGUGCAGCUCACGCCUGUAACUGACGCUUACAUAAUAACACAUCAGUCAUGAGAUGGUGUGUUAGAGAUGGAUGAUUAAAGCAACUGUGAUUUUUAAGUGCGUUAUGUGAAAUGAAUGAAUAGCUGUGUUAAAUAAUUGACAUCACAAUUACUUGAUUGUGGUUUUUGCUGUGUUAUCGUGGCUUGUGAGGCGCUUUGACAGUCAUUCUGUUCAGGAUUCAGUCAGCAUGCAAGGAAGAAGUGAAAAUAACUCAAGCUACUUUGGAAACCAAGAACACAUGGAUAUGAGUUUCUUUAAUGUGCAAGUUGUAAUAGUAUGGAAUAGAAGUUUAGAUAUAAAACAAUGAGUCUGGGUUUACUAAAAGUCACUUGAAAUUUUACUUGAAAGUUAACUAACAAAAUAAAGAGUUAACUGUGUCCCUGGCUCUGGAGACAUCUGACCUUUGACCCCAGAGGUGCUGGUAAAGAGACACACCUGCCCUGCAGCAUAUUUACACAAACACAGUCGAGGUGUGAUGGUUCAUUUGGGCAGGGUGUUGUUACACUGACAACAAGUUUGAUCUUCCACGGCAAAGUGUGAAGAGUUGCAGGGUUCGUAUCAUUUUCAUUUCCUGUGUGGAUGCUGAUGUAGACUUCAUGUCUGGCCUUCACUCCCUUGAAAGGACCUCACAGUAUUUAUCAUACGUUACCAUUUAUACAGGCUCUGUGAUCAUUUUUACAUUUCUUAAUAAAUAGUUUUCUUUUAUUCUGAGCCUUCUGGCAUGUGGGUACUGUGGUUAGCAGGAGUGGUUAGCAAGAAGGUCCUGGGUUUGAAUCCAGGCUGGGGGCUUUCUGUGUGGAGCUUGCAUGUUCUCCCAGUGUCUCCGUGGGUUCUCUCUGGGUACGCCUGCUUCCUUCCACAGUCCAAAAACAUGCAUGGGGUUUAGUUAACUGGUGAUUCUAAAAUUGAGCAUAAGUGUGAAUGUAGGCGUUAACGGUCGGUCGUGGGUGAAGCCUGCCUCUUGCUCUAUGAUACCUGGAAUAGUUUCCUGGCAAUCCUGAAAUAACUGGAUGGAUGUUUUAAUAAAUGGCAAUCACACAAAAUCUCAAAAUCUAGCUGUAGAGCAUGUAUGUACGCACAUCUAUGGAGAACAUGUUGUGGAUUAUAGUGCUGCAGGAAUGACCUCCUCUGUGCACACUGAAGACAAAAAGGUCAAAUGUGGAUUCUUUACUCCAUAAACCCCGUUGCCACUAAUUUUCAGUCAAGUUCUUGUGGAAUAUCAAAUACAUCAGCUUAGUCUUCCUGAUUUCCUUCUUUAUGGACAGCAGCUCCUCCACUGAGACCCUUUUUCAUGUGAACAGCAGACAGACGGUCCUGCGUCAGGUCUUUGCUGAAUUUCUUCCUAUUCCUUAAGAAGAUGACUUUCAGGUAUUGUUGAUAGCUGUAGAUCAGUUUUUAGAACUGAUACUGAUAAUUUGAUGUAAAUUAUUGCAAUGUUUUACAAUACGUCACUGUAACAAAGUCUCUAAAGAUACUAUUUAACCCUAGAACACUAUCGCUGUAAAUAGUAACACAAUCACUAAUGCCGGGUGAUUUUUACCCGAUAUAAUAUAACCAAUAAAAAGUAAUCAAAUAUAUCAAAAUAUGACAACACAUGACAAAUUAGAGUGGUCGUCUUUUACUUUCAACUGUGCCGUGUCUAACAAAAUGAAAAAAAAAAAACCUAAAACAAAAUGAUGACUCUGGAAAGCUGGUCUUUGGUCCACCCAUUCCUGGGAAAUUUGAGACUUCCCUGGUGAAGGCACAGGCUCCUCGACACGCAAACAGCUGCAGGAGAGAGAAAUCAUGUAAAUGUAUUUGCUCGGGUGUAAAUCACCUGGCGAUAGUGUUCUAGGGUUAAAAUGUUUUUGUUGUUAGGUUGUCUGAUUUUUUCAGUAGUUUGCCCUUGCAUUAGACGCCUUUUUAAUGCUUGAGUCCUGAAUCAUAGGUCAGUGUUAAGUGGUUUAAAAAUCUGAACUGAAAAUGAGUGAAAAUGCAGCCAAGGUGAAGAAAAAAACGUUGAAAGCCUGGAGAACUACUCCUCGAGACUAAUUCAAAAAAAUACACAAAGGUCUGGCUGCUUGGAAGCAGAACAUAAAGACUUGGGCAGUAAAGCAAGUUUAAACAGUUUUACACUCUCAGUCCCUCAUCUCAAAGUCAUUGUUUGUUGUUUCCUUUUUGUUUUUUUGAAUGUCUGAAAUAAAAUCAGGAUUUCUCCUACAAAAUAAAACACAUAAGCAAGUGCUCCUAAAAUGUGAACCUUUUUCUUUUUGGUGUACAGUUUAUCUGUUUUUGUUUAGUGUUUGUACAGUUCACUGAGCCCUGCUAAUCAUUCACAAGAUCAUACAUUUGGCAUUACUAUUGAAAAAACAUUAAAGCAAGUGAUAACAUAUCCUUAAAAAAAUGAAAAAAUCUAACAAAAAUACUGAUCAUAAUAUUAGAAAGCAGGCUCCUCCUCCUACCCCUGUCACCAUCGGAGGGGCUGAUGUGGAGAUCGUUGAGGACUACCGGUACCUGGGGGUACACUUGGACUGUAACCUGGACUGGACCAAGAACACCAAUGCUAUCUUCAAAAAAGGGCAGAGUCGGCUUUUCCUACUGAGGCGACUCAGGUCCUUCAAUGUUGGUAGGAAAAUGCUGACCAUGUUCUAUCACUCGGUGUUGGAGAGCGUUGUGUUCUUUGCAGCUGUGUGCUGGGGAAGUGGGGUGAAGACAGCUGAUGCCAACAGGCUGAACAAGCUGAUUAAAAAGGCUGGUUCUGUCCUGGGUGUCAGACUGGAGAACCCGGAGGAGGUGUCUGAGAGGAGAAUGCUAAAAAAGCUUCUUUCUAUCAUGGACAAUCCCUCCCACCCCAUGCACGCCUCCAUGAUGGACCAUCAGAGCAAACGCAGCAAAAGACUCAUUGCCCCGAAAUGCAGAACUGACCGCCACAGGAAAUCCUUUGUGCCGGUGGCAAUAAGACUGUAUAACUCUUCCUCACUCUGUAGGUGAUUUUCCUGAGACUAUUACCUAUGUUAUUCUGUUCCUUGUCAGACCGUGCAAUAUUACCCAACAGUACCUUAUUGAAUAUUUGUUUCAUCCCCCCAUCAUACGCUGCUACUCCCUUUAUUCUAUUGCACAAUACUAUGUCACUUUCUAGAAUCGCC